GCCUGAGUGGCUCAGUUGGUUAAGCAUCUGCCUUUAGCACAGGUCAUGAUCCCAGGUCCUGGGUUUGAGUCCCACAUCAGGCU
RNAcentral lists this transfer RNA (83 nucleotides) under Ailuropoda melanoleuca (giant panda). It matches the Rfam family "tRNA". Rfam says of the family: Transfer RNA (tRNA) molecules are approximately 80 nucleotides in length. Their secondary structure includes four short double-helical elements and three loops (D, anti-codon, and T loops). The record is from Rfam by way of RNAcentral. Lineage: Eukaryota; Metazoa; Chordata; Mammalia; Carnivora; Ursidae.